CGGCAACAGCUCAAAUUUGAAAUCUGGCCCUCUCAGGGUCCGAGUUGUAGUCUAGAGAAGCAUCAUCCGUGCUGGACCAUGUACAAGUCUCUUGGAACAGAGCGUCAUAGAGGGUGAGAAUCCCGUCCUUGACAUGGACUCCCAGUACUUUGUGUUGUGCUCUCAAC
Molecule: ribosomal RNA, 167 nt
Filed under: Ceratobasidiaceae sp.
Lineage: Eukaryota; Fungi; Basidiomycota; Agaricomycetes; Cantharellales; Ceratobasidiaceae
Description: partial large subunit ribosomal RNA
Rfam family: Eukaryotic large subunit ribosomal RNA
Source: RNAcentral